This 253-nucleotide ribosomal RNA is filed under the name uncultured bacterium. RNAcentral's name for it is "partial 16S ribosomal RNA". It matches the Rfam family "Bacterial small subunit ribosomal RNA", at positions 524 to 776 of the family's 1533-position model. The record is from RNAcentral.
UACAGAGGUCUCAAGCGUUGUUCGGAUUCAUUGGGCGUAAAGGGUGCGUAGGUGGCAUGGUAAGUCGGGUGUGAAAUCCCGGGGCUCAACCCCGGAACUGCACUCGAUACUGCCGUGCUCGAGUACUGGAGAGGAGACUGGAAUUUACGGUGUAGCAGUGAAAUGCGUAGAUAUCGUAAGGAAGACCAGUGGCGAAGGCGGGUCUCUGGACAGUUCCUGACGCUGAGGCACGAAGGUCAGGGGAGCAAACGGG